GACGAACGCUGGCGGCGUGCCUAAUACAUGCAAGUAGAACGCAGUUUCGCACGGGUGAGUACCGCGUAGGUGACUUCCUCAUAGCGGGGGAUAACUAUUGGAAACACUAGCUAAUACCGCAUACUUUGAGCUGGACCUGCGUUGUAUUAGGUAGUUGGUGAGGUAAAAGGUCACCAAGGCGACGAUACAUAGCCGACCUGAGAGGGUGGUCCGGCAAACUGGGACUGGGGAAAGGGCCCGAAUCCUACCGGGAGCAACAGGAGGGAAUUCUUGGGAAUGGACGGAAGGCUGAACGAACAACGCCGCGGGAGGGGAGAAGGGUUUCGGAUUGUAAAGCUAUGUUGGUAGAGAAGCGGUAACUAACCAGAAAGGGACGGCUAACUACGUGCCAGCAGCCGCGGUAAUUC
This 407-nucleotide ribosomal RNA is filed under the name uncultured bacterium. RNAcentral's name for it is "partial 16S ribosomal RNA". It matches the Rfam family "Bacterial small subunit ribosomal RNA", at positions 28 to 526 of the family's 1533-position model. The record is from RNAcentral.